CGCGUAGGCGGCCUCUCAAGCGGGAUCUCUAAUCCGAGGGCUCAACCCCCGGCCGGAUCCCGAACUGGGAGGCUCGAGUUCGGUAGAGGCAGGCGGAAUUCCCGGUGUAGCGGUGGAAUGCGCAGAUAUCGGGAAGAACACCGAUGGCGAAGGCAGCCUGCUGGGCCGCAACUGACGCUGAGGCGCGAAAGUGUGGGUAGCAAAC
RNAcentral lists this ribosomal RNA (205 nucleotides) under uncultured bacterium. RNAcentral describes it as "partial 16S ribosomal RNA". It matches the Rfam family "Bacterial small subunit ribosomal RNA", at positions 568 to 773 of the family's 1533-position model. The record is from RNAcentral.